CAAUAGCGUAUAUUAAAGUUGUUGCGGUUAAAAGCUCGUAGUUGGAUUUCUGUUGAGGGCGACCGGUACGCAUUUCGUGCGUUAUCUGGCUCGGUCUUGGCAUCCUCUUGGGGAACGACUCCAUGCUUAAUUGCACGGAUCGGGAUUCAAGACUUUUACUUUGAGGAAAUUAGAGUGUUCACGGCAAGCAAGUGCUUUGAAUACAUUAGCAUGGAAUAAUAAUAUAGGACCUUUGUUCUAUUUUGUUGGUUUCUAGAACUAAGGUAAUGAUUAAUAGGGACAAUUGGGGGCAUUCGUAUUAACGCGUCAGAGGUGGAAUUCUUGGAUUGCGUUACGACGAACUACUGCGAAAGCAUUUGCCAAGGAUGUUUUCAUUGAUCAAGAACGAAAGUAUGGGGAUCGAAGACGAUUAGAUACCAU
Molecule: ribosomal RNA, 420 nt
Filed under: uncultured eukaryote
Lineage: Eukaryota
Description: SSU rRNA
Rfam family: Eukaryotic small subunit ribosomal RNA
Source: RNAcentral